This 301-nucleotide ribosomal RNA is filed under the name uncultured bacterium. RNAcentral describes it as "partial 16S ribosomal RNA". It matches the Rfam family "Bacterial small subunit ribosomal RNA", at positions 509 to 809 of the family's 1533-position model. The record is from RNAcentral.
CAGUAGCCGCGGUAAUACGAAGGGGGCUAGCGUUGUUCGGAAUUACUGGGCGUAAAGCGCACGUAGGCGGAUAUUUAAGUCAGGGGUGAAAUCCCGCAGCUCAACUGCGGAACUGCCUUUGAUACUGGGUAUCUUGAGUAUGGAAGAGGUUAGUGGAAUUGCGAGUGUAGAGGUGAAAUUCGUAGAUAUUCGCAGGAACACCAGUGGCGAAGGCGGCUAACUGGUCCAUAACUGACGCUGAGGUGCGAAAGCGUGGGGAGCAAACAGGAUUAGAUACCCCUGUAGUCCCUGUCUCUUAUAA